AACGACAUAGAUCUGAGAAACCUACAACUACUUGGUUAAGGGUCGAACCAUGGUUCUCAAAGUCAAACCUUAAGUCUAAACUACCGUUCUCAAUAGUUCUUCCUGUCCUUUCGAGGGCCCCUUAUACCCUUUGACGCCGACUUCUGACUCAAGAGUGCCACACGCCUACUAUCGAACAAACCAUCGUACCUGGUGCAGUGUUUUAAACAUCGUCGU
This 216-nucleotide ribosomal RNA is filed under the name Triticum aestivum (bread wheat). RNAcentral describes it as "partial small subunit ribosomal RNA". The record is from RNAcentral. Lineage: Eukaryota; Viridiplantae; Streptophyta; Magnoliopsida; Poales; Poaceae.